This 316-nucleotide long non-coding RNA is filed under the name Daucus carota (carrot). RNAcentral describes it as "long non-coding RNA (DCAR_LNC006641)". The record is from RNAcentral. Lineage: Eukaryota; Viridiplantae; Streptophyta; Magnoliopsida; Apiales; Apiaceae.
CUAAAUCUAGUAAUGCCUUAUCCACAAAAGUUUCUCCUAUGACACAUGAAAUUGUAGGACAACCGGGGUCCUUGUAUUUCACGGGAAUUUGGUUUGAGAGAAUCGAACUAAUGUGAGAUGUAAGGAACGCUUUCUUAGGGACAUGGUUGGUUCUUUUAUGGGUACAUAACUCCUUAAGACACUUAGCAUAUGAAGGAAUUUGUUGAAUUGCAUCUAAAAGGGGUAUGUUGACCUUGACUUGCUUAAACACUUCCAAAAUCUUCUCCAUUUGAGCCGAUUGCUUAGGUGAAAUAAGUCUUUGUGGGUAAGGGACUCU